This 497-nucleotide ribosomal RNA is filed under the name uncultured bacterium. RNAcentral describes it as "partial 16S ribosomal RNA". It matches the Rfam family "Bacterial small subunit ribosomal RNA", at positions 28 to 507 of the family's 1533-position model. The record is from RNAcentral.
GAUGAACGCUGGCGGCGUGCCUAAUACAUGCAAGUCGAGCGAACAGACGAGGAGCUUGCUCCUCUGACGUUAGCGGCGGACGGGUGAGUAACACGUGGAUAACCUACCUAUAAGACUGGGAUAACUUCGGGAAACCGGAGCUAAUACCGGAUAAUAUAUUGAACCGCAUGGUUCAAUAGUGAAAGACGGUUUUGCCGUCACUUAUAGAUGGAUCCGCGCCGCAUUAGCUAGUUGGUAAGGUAACGGCUUACCAAGGCAACGAUGCGUAGCCGACCUGAGAGGGUGAUCGGCCACACUGGAACUGAGACACGGUCCAGACUCCUACGGGAGGCAGCAGUAGGGAAUCUUCCGCAAUGGGCGAAAGCCUGACAGAGCAACGCCGCGUGAGUGAUGAAGGUCUUCGGAUCGUAAAACUCUGUUAUUAGGGAAGAACAAAUGUGUAAGUAACUAUGCACGUCUUGACGGUACCUAAUCAGAAAGCCACGGCUAACUACGUG